UUCCUCCAGAUUCCUUUCCCCUCAGGUCUACACAUUGGUCUGAUAGGCUAACCAAGGAGGAAAAGUAGCACUGAAGUGGGCUCGGAGUCUCUAUGGACAUACAAGUUCAUUUCAAACAUAU
This 121-nucleotide small nucleolar RNA is filed under the name Echinops telfairi (small Madagascar hedgehog). RNAcentral's name for it is "Small nucleolar RNA SNORA61 (ENSETEG00000025338.1)". The record is from RNAcentral. Lineage: Eukaryota; Metazoa; Chordata; Mammalia; Afrosoricida; Tenrecidae.